GAUGAACGCUGGCGGCGUGCCUAAUACAUGCAAGUCGAGCGAACAGACGAGGAGCUUGCUCCUCUGACGUUAGCGGCGGACGGGUGAGUAACACGUGGAUAACCUACCUAUAAGACUGGGAUAACUUCGGGAAACCGGAGCUAAUACCGGAUAAUAUAUUGAACCGCAUGGUUCAAUAGUGAAAGACGGUUUUGCUGUCACUUAUAGAUGGAUCCGCGCCGCAUUAGCUAGUUGGUAAGGUAACGGCUUACCAAGGCAACGAUGCGUAGCCGACCUGAGAGGGGGGCGGGCCCAAAGGGAAAGAGGCCCCGGUCCAGACUCCGAGGGGGGGCAGCAGUGGGGAAUUUUCCGAAAGGGGGAAAACCCUAAGGGAGCAAGGCGCGGUGGGGGAAGAAGGUUUUGGGAUCUAAAAACUUUGUUAUUAGGGAAAAAAAAAUGUGAAAGAAAAUAAGCACGUCUGGAGGGAACCAAAUCAAAAAGCGACGGCGAACUACG
Molecule: ribosomal RNA, 495 nt
Filed under: uncultured bacterium
Lineage: Bacteria
Description: partial 16S ribosomal RNA
Rfam family: Bacterial small subunit ribosomal RNA
Source: RNAcentral